This 253-nucleotide unclassified non-coding RNA is filed under the name uncultured Phycisphaeraceae bacterium. RNAcentral describes it as "contains 16S-23S intergenic spacer region". It matches the Rfam family "Bacterial small subunit ribosomal RNA", at positions 524 to 776 of the family's 1533-position model. The record is from RNAcentral. Lineage: Bacteria; Pseudomonadati; Planctomycetota; Phycisphaerae; Phycisphaerales; Phycisphaeraceae.
UACAGAGGGUCCAAGCGUUAAUCGGAAUCACUGGGCUUAAAGGGUGCGCAGGCGGAUCCGCAAGUGUCUUGUGAAAUCCCACCGCUCAACGGUGGAAUUGCUUGGCAAACUGCAGGUCUUGAGCCCGACAGGGGUCGUCGGAACGUUAGGUGGAGCGGUGAAAUGCGUAGAUAUCUAACGGAACGCCAAAGGUGAAGACAGACGACUGGGUCGGCGCUGACGCUCAUGCACGAAAGCGUGGGGAGCGAACGGG